RNAcentral lists this ribosomal RNA (252 nucleotides) under uncultured Bacteroidales bacterium. Its description in RNAcentral is "partial 16S ribosomal RNA". It matches the Rfam family "Bacterial small subunit ribosomal RNA", at positions 524 to 776 of the family's 1533-position model. Lineage: Bacteria; Pseudomonadati; Bacteroidota; Bacteroidia; Bacteroidales. The record is from RNAcentral.
UACGGAGGAUGCGAGCGUUAUCCGGAUUUAUUGGGUUUAAAGGGUGCGCAGGCGGAUUUUUAAGUCAGCGGUCAAAUCGUGGGGCUCAACCCCAUCCAGCCGUUGAAACUGGCGUGCUCGAGUUGGAGAGAAGUAUGCGGAAUUCGUGGUGUAGCGGUGAAAUGCAUAGAUAUCACGCAGAACUCCGAUUGCGAAGGCAGCAUACCGGCGCCCAACUGACGCUGAAGCACGAAAGCGUGGGUAUCGAACAGG